GGUAUUGAUUGGUGCUUGCAUCAUGAUUUACAUUUGAGUGAGUGGCGAACUGGUGAGUAACACGUGGGAAACCUGCCCAGAAGCGGGGGAUAACACCUGGAAACAGAUGCUAAUACCGCAUAACAACUUGGACCGCAUGGUCCGAGUUUGAAAGAUGGCUUCGGCUAUCACUUUUGGAUGGUCCCGCGGCGUAUUAGCUAGAUGGUGGGGUAACGGCUCACCAUGGCAAUGAUACGUAGCCGACCUGAGAGGGUAAUCGGCCACAUUGGGACUGAGACACGGCCCAAACUCCUACGGGAGGCAGCAGUAGGGAAUCUUCCACAAUGGACGAAAGUCUGAUGGAGCAACGCCGCGUGAGUGAAGAAGGGUUUCGGCUCGUAAAACUCUGUUGUUAAAGAAGAACAUAUCUGAGAGUAACUGUUCAGGUAUUGACGGUAUUUAACCAGAAAGCCACGGCUAACUACGUGCCAGCAGCCGCGGUAAUACGUAGGUGGCAAGCGUUGUCCGGAUUUAUUGGGCGUAAAGCGAGCGCAGGCGGUUUUUUAAGUCUGAUGUGAAAGCCUUCGGCUCAACCGAAGAAGUGCAUCGGAAACUGGGAAACUUGAGUGCAGAAGAGGACAGUGGAACUCCAUGUGUAGCGGUGAAAUGCGUAGAUAUAUGGAAGAACACCAGUGGCGAAAGCGGCUGUCUGGUCUGUAACUGACGCUGAGGCUCGAAAGUAUGGGUAGCAACAGAUUAGAUACCCUGGUAGUCCAUACCGUAAACGAUGAUGCUAGUGUUGGAGGGUUUCGCCCUUCAGUGCUGCAGCUACGCAUAGCAUCCGCCUGGGGGAGUACGCCGCAAGGCUGAAACUCAAGGAAUUGACCGGG
RNAcentral lists this ribosomal RNA (869 nucleotides) under Lactiplantibacillus plantarum. Its description in RNAcentral is "bacterial SSU rRNA". It matches the Rfam family "Bacterial small subunit ribosomal RNA", at positions 68 to 918 of the family's 1533-position model. Lineage: Bacteria; Bacillati; Bacillota; Bacilli; Lactobacillales; Lactobacillaceae. The record is from RNAcentral.